CUCAAUCCGGGCCAUAUUCAGCUUAAUCAAGAACCCUAGCCUCUCUCCCCAAUCGUCGGCCUUAAACCCUCUCCUUCCAACGCCGAUUCAUCUUCGCCAGAUGGGGUUCUUUGCGCCUGGAGGAAUUUUAGCCCGAAAUCCCUCCUUAACUUCGAUUCUGACGAAGAAAGGAGGAGAAAUCCAUGGCCUACUCGCACGGUAAGGCUCCUUUCCUCUUUAAUUUAUUUGCUUUUCGAAAUAAAAUAAGAUAAAAAUAACACCAAAUGAGAGAAUAAUCACAAAGAAAGCCUAGAGAUUUUGAUCGAAAAAAUCACCUUCCGAUAUUGGUUGCCUUUUUGUAUUGCUUCCCUUUUUGUAUGCGUGUUUCAGUGUUUUUGUUGCAUAUUUGCGCGUAUAUUGCUUUCGUGCGUGUAAAAAAUUACAGGGAUUGAGAUUUCGACUUUAUAGCCGAAAAAGAGAAAGGAAAAUCAAUAAAAAUUAAUAAAAAAUACAAUAUUUCUUUGUUUCUAUUCUUUGCCGCUCUGUUUGUCUUCUUGUAGGGACGGGUGCGUGCUGGUGUGUGUACGGGAGCUUGGCGUGGUUGCUGGAGGUGUUGUACGGUGCCUGGAGGAUGCAGGGGUUGCUGCGGCGUGAACAGAAGACUGCUAGGGUUUCCAGUUUAGGCAUUGGGCUUAUUGGGCCUAUUUUGGGUCAGGUCUAGGUUUAGUUAUUGGGUCUGGGUUAUGUAACUGGGUUUGGGGCUGUAAAAAGGAUAUUUAAUGGACUGUGGUUAUUUAUUUAUUUAUUUAUUUUAUAUUUAUAUAUAUGUUUGGGGUUUUUAGCGGGCCCGGGCUAAAAUUGGUCACUACAGGUGAGACUUGGUGAUGACAAGUAGAUGCAAGUUGAGGGCAAAUGCACUGUGGCGAUAAGCAAUGGUCAUGGUAACAUAAAGAUCCUUUAUAAUGUCUAUUUUAUUCCUACUUUAUCUUAAAAUUUAUUGAGCAUUGGGCAGUUUAUGGGUAGUGGAUAUUCUGUCAUGUUUGAUGAUAUGUCUUGUAUGAUUAGAGAUAAAAAAUCAGGAAAAAUUAUUGUUGAUGUUCAGAUGGCACCAAACAAGCUCUUUCCUCUUGAAGUCUCUAAUGUAGAAAGUGACACCCCUAAAGUGACCCUAGUCGGAAAGCGGUCUUGGGACCGCUGGACCGAGUCACCAAAUUAUUUGAAUGUGAUAAUUAUUGCCUAAAAUAUUUGAAUAUAAAUGUGUGAAAGUUUUAAGCUUCGAUUUAGUUAAUUGCAUGUGAAUUUAGUUGAUAGGACUUAUGUGAGAAAAUUUAGAAAUGUGCUAGGCAAAUGCAAGUGGCCUAAUAGUGCAUGUAAUCAAAGGGGUGGACUUGCAUGUCAAUUUCCCCCCAUUUAAGUACUAGUGGCCGGCCAUGACAAGGGAUGAUGGGUAAAACAUGUCAUGAAACAUGUUGUGUUAAUGGAAAAAUAAAAUAAGAAGCAUGGGCAAAACAUGUCAUGAAACAUGUUGUGUUAAUGGAAGAAUAAAAUAAGAAGCAUGGGCAAUAAACUAAUAAGAAAUUGAAGGAAGAAAACAAAGAGAAAAAAAUGUGUUCAUCAUUCUCAUGCAUGACCAAAAAAAAAAAGAAAAAAAAAAGAAGAGAAAAGCUCUCAUGUUGUUCUUGGCCGAAUAGGAGAAAGAAAAAGAAGGAAAAAGAGCUUUGAGGAAAUCGGCUAUGGUGGUUUGAUAGACUAAGGUAUGUUUGAUGAUGUUCCAUGAGAUGCAUGCAUGUUUUAGUAGUUAGCUUGAGUUCUAAAUAGCCCAUGGUUCAAAUCUUUACUAUGUCAUGGAGAUGAUAUUCGGCCAAGGUGGAUUGGUGUUAAUAUCAUUUGCAUGCUAAAAGGUGGCCAUAUGACCUAUCAAACUCCUUGUCAUAUUCGGCCAUAAGCUAGCAAAAUGAGACUUUAAUGAGUUAAAUUUUUUUGAAUUAAGCUCAAGAGCAAAGGGGAACUAAAUCCGAUAAAGGGAAGGAAAAAGUGGUCGAAUAGCCGCCGAAAUCAUUCGACAACAUCCGAGGUAAGUUUUAAGUGAUUAAACGUUGAGUAAAUUCAAUCAUAAUAAGACAUAAUGAGUUGAUUUAAUAAGAUAUGAUGUGGCUAUGAUAUGUCUUAAACUCAAAUGGUAAGUUCAUAUGUGUUUAGACUUGGAAAUUUAAGAGCAAAUUGUAAUAAUUUGCUUUGGACAGCAGCAGUAACGUGAUUUUAGAAAAUCACUAUAAAUUGUUGGUAUGGAAUUAUAGGCUGAAUAAAAUAUGUAAUCAAGGCUUAAUUAGUCUAGUUUCUUAUAAAAGAGACCUUGUGAGCAAAGAAAUUUCAUAUAAAGAGAUAUUUAAAGUUGUGUGAGACGGUGUCAGAAUGACUCCGAAAUCCCCUGUUCUGUUUUUAGAAAAUCAUUAUAAAUUGUACAAAAAUGGUUAUAAGAUAAAAUUUAUAUUCUUAGACUCCUUAAUGAGUCUAGUUUCAAAUGAAAUCAAAUACAACACAUUUUGAAUUCUGUAAAAUGAGAAAUUUGAUUCGUAGUGAAGAGUGGUCAGAUUAGUCAAACAGUGAAACAGGGGAAACUUUAAGAAAAAUCUGGUAUUGAUUGGCCAAACCUAAAAUUCUGGAAAUUUUAUGGAUGGAAGAUAUACGAGUCUAUAUUCAGGAAAAAUUAACGGCAAGUGAUUUGGAGUUUUGUAUCUCCGGUUAUAAAUAAUUUAGUGACCAUUGCUCAGGAAAACAGAUCGUAGUGAAUAUGUGAUUUUGUUGUAAACAUGGAUAAAACUUGUUUUAGUUGCUCAUAAGCUAUUGAUUAAACCCAUACUUGAAUUCUAAAUCGUGAUAUUGUAAGCUUAUGAGUAUUCGAAUAUGAAAUGAUAGUAUGGCGUAAAAUUGAAUUAUUCAUUGGAAAGUGAUGGAUGUAGAUUCGGCCAAGACCAAGUCUGUACAUGAUAGUAUAUGUGGUAUGUGAAGUAUAUUUGAAUAAAUGUGAAAGUGUAUAUAUGUGAUAAGGCCUAAUGGCCAAUGUGAUGAAUGUGAAAGUGUAUAUAUAUGUGAUAAGGCCUAAUGGCCGAUGUGAUGAAUGUGAAAGUGUAUAUAUAUGUGAUAAGGCCUAAUGGCCGAUGUGAUGAAUGUGAAAGUGUAUAUAUAUGUGAUAAGGCCUAAUGGCCGAUGUGAUGAAUGUGAAAGUGUAUAUAUGUGAUAAGGCCUAAUGGCCGAUGUGAUGAAUGUGAAAGUGUAUAUAUGUGAUAAGGCCUAAUGGCCGAUGUGAUGAAUGUGAAAGUGUAUAUAUAUGUGAUAAGGCCGAAUGGCCAAUGUGAUGAAUGUGAACAUGUGUAUGUGUGAUAAGGUCGAAUGUCCAAUGUGAUGAAUGUGAACAUGCAUAUAUGAGAUAAGGCCGAAUGGCCAAUGUGAUGAAUGUGAACAUGUGUAUGUGUGAUAAGGCCGAAUGGCCAAUGUGAUGAAUGUGAACAUGUGUAUGUGUGAUAAGGCCGAAUGGCCAAUGUGAUGAAUGUGAACAUGCAUAUAUGAGAUAAGGCCGAAUGGCCAAUGUGAUGAAUGUGAAGGUGUAUAUAUGUGAUAAGGCCGAAUGGCCAAUGUGAUGGAUGUGGAAGUGUAUAAAUGUGAUAAGUCCCGAAGGGCAAUUGUGUCAGUACUAUAUCCGGGUUAAAACCCCGCAGGCUUUAUGCGAGAAUAUUAUCCUGAUUAAUGUCCGUAGGCUUCGUGCUCGUACUAUAUCUGAGCUUUAAAGACCCGACGGCUAAAUGCUAGGAUUCAAGUAAGACUUUGAUAUUGAGUAUCUGCAUUAAGUUACCAUCAAAUAAGUAUUAUGUAUUCAAGAUGUUCAGGUAUGUAUUACUUACUCAUCGGUGGAGUGAUUUCGAGGUGAAUUAUCAGUAUCAAAGAGGUAGGCAAAUGUGAUUAAUAUUAUAACUCCAAAUGUGAGAAUGAUCUAAUUGGUAAUGGUAUGUUUGUAUAAUAAAGUAUGCGAUGAAAUAUUCUUAUGUAUUAGUGCAUAUUCUGCCCAAAAGCCUUAUGAUCUGAGUAUGGGUUGGGUUGAGCUAGAUGUGCCAGUACAAGGUAAGGAUUAUGAUUUGUAAGCUUACAUAUAUGUGAUAAGGAAUAUGUUGGUUCUUUAUGUGCCUAUGGUAAUUUAGUACUUGUCAUGUUGAAAUACUUAAAAGUAUGGAUGUGAUUAUGAACAAGUGGAAAGGAUUAUUGAAAGCUGAAAAUCGAUGAAGAAUGUGCUUUGGAAAUAUUUGACCAUCUAGGUCAUUAUUAUUCGAAAGUAUAUAUGUGGCAGCCAAGUGUUGCGUUUAAUGAUAUUAUAGAUCGAGAUGAAGCUCUAGAUUAACUUCAUCGAACAGUUGAAAUGAAUGACCAAUGAUAGUGAUUGAGAACACUUUGUUUUGCUUAAAACUUACUAAGCAUUAAAUGCUUACUCCGUUCUUUGAAUCUCUGUUUUAUAGAUUUUGGUUCGUCAGCUAUCGGACUCGGGAUUAUUGAAGUCGAAGUCGCCCACACUAUCAAAACCCUUUUGGUACACUUUUGGUUGAACUCUGAAAAUGGCAUGUAUAGGACUACCCUUUUGUUGUUGGUCAUGUACCCUUCGGUUUUGUAUAAUUUUGGAUAGCCAUGCGAAAAUGGCUUAUAUAUGUUUGAGCAUAAUGUUAUAAUCAUUUGGUAUGGAUAUGGUUAUUGAGAGUUGUGGAUAUGCUUAACAAGGAUUGGCCAUGGGAAUGGUUAAUCAUUAUCAUAAUUUGUGCUA
This 4783-nucleotide long non-coding RNA is filed under the name Gossypium barbadense (sea-island cotton). Its description in RNAcentral is "long non-coding RNA (GBAR_LNC010407)". Lineage: Eukaryota; Viridiplantae; Streptophyta; Magnoliopsida; Malvales; Malvaceae. The record is from RNAcentral.